GAUGAACGCUGGCGGCGUGCCUAAUACAUGCAAGUCGAGCGAACGGACGAGAAGCUUGCUUCUCUGAUGUUAGCGGCGGACGGGUGGGUAACACGUGGAUAACCUACCUAUAAGACUGGGAUAACUUCGGGAAACCGGAGCUAAUACCGGAUAAUAUUUUGAACCGCAUGGUUCAAAAGUGAAAGACGGUCUUGCUGUCACUUAUAGAUGGAUCCGCGCUGCAUUAGCUAGUUGGUAAGGUAACGGCUUACCAAGGCAACGAUGCAUAGCCGACCUGAGAGGGUGAUCGGCCACACUGGAACUGAGACACGGUCCAGACUCCUACGGGAGGCAGCAGUAGGGAAUCUUCCGCAAUGGGCGAAAGCCUGACGGAGCAACGCCGCGUGAGUGAUGAAGGUCUUCGGAUCGUAAAACUCUGUUAUUAGGGAGGAACAUAUGUGUAAGUAACUGUGCACAUCUUGACGGUACCUAAUCAGAAAGCCACGGCUAACUACGUG
This 497-nucleotide ribosomal RNA is filed under the name uncultured bacterium. RNAcentral's name for it is "partial 16S ribosomal RNA". It matches the Rfam family "Bacterial small subunit ribosomal RNA", at positions 28 to 507 of the family's 1533-position model. The record is from RNAcentral.